Molecule: unclassified non-coding RNA, 378 nt
Filed under: Hevea brasiliensis (rubber tree)
Lineage: Eukaryota; Viridiplantae; Streptophyta; Magnoliopsida; Malpighiales; Euphorbiaceae
Source: RNAcentral
UGUACAUUCUAUUAUAUCAAUAUCAUCGUCCUCAAUGCCAUGGGGUUCCUCCUUUACUUGUUCAGCCAAGGAGGUAUGGUUUUCAUAGUUGCUAGCACAAUUUACAUGACUAGCUUCAAGUUCUUUAGAAUCACUUCCAUUCUGCUUCUUUGCCGAAGCCUCUACAAUCAUGUCUAUAUUUUGCUCGUUCUCUAAUUCACGUCGCAUUUUGCAAUAUCUUACAAUUCAAACCAUUCUCAGCACAUCGAGAGAAAAUAUGUGCAAACAACAGAAAUACAAGAAUUUCCAAUUCUCAAGAAACAGUCCGAUUCAAAAGUUCUCAACAGACUAAUUCUCCGCCGAGUGGCCUGGGGUGGGGGGUGGGGUGGGGUGGGGGUG